AGAUGGGCAUGCGUUCCAUUAGCUAGUUGGUGAGGUAACUGCUCACCAAGGCUACGAUGGAUAGGGGGACUGAGAGGUUUAUCCCCCACACUGGUACUGAGACACGGACCAGACUCCUACGGGAGGCAGCAGUGAGGAAUAUUGGUCAAUGAGCGAAAGCCU
This 162-nucleotide ribosomal RNA is filed under the name uncultured bacterium. Its description in RNAcentral is "partial 16S rRNA". It matches the Rfam family "Bacterial small subunit ribosomal RNA", at positions 223 to 384 of the family's 1533-position model. The record is from RNAcentral.